GGGAUUUAAAUUUUGAGUUAAUUUCGGCAAGCAUGACAUUUAAGUUGUUUAGACUUGUGAAACUUUGGAAUUGAAUUGUAGAGGCCCAAUUUAGCCCGGGCCCAUAAACUAGAAACCUAAUAACAAAAAUAUAUAUAUAAAGUCCACAAGUCCAUUUUACAUAGCCCAAAAUCCAAACCCAUUUACAAUAACCCAAUUCUAAACCCAACUACCUUAGCCAAAAAAUUCAAAGCCCAAAUGGCCCAAAAUGUUUUAGAAACAGAAACUAGGGUUUCCCUUGCACCGCAGUUGUUCUCCCAACCCUCGUACAACCUCCAGUGCGCCUCCAUACGACCUUCACGCACCACCCCACCACCUUGCCUCUGUAUCUGCAAAAUAAGACAAGCAAAGGACGGACACAGCAGCAAGAGCAAAAACCAAGCAAAAACUUUGUAAUUUUUCUUUUUUGUGGUGGCUAUAAAAAGCCAAGAAAUAUCAAUGUAAAGCUCUCUUUUUUUUUACGCAUACAAGGAAAUCAAUACAAAAAAAAGGGGAAUCAAGGUGGUCUUUUGGUUCUGUUUUCCAUUUCCUUUGCAAGUUUAUUUUCGAAUAUAGCACAUACAUGUAUAGAUAUUCAAAGAAAACAUAAAAAAAGGUUACCUUUUUGAGAUUGGGGAAGGGAACUGAGGGGUUGUUUGUUUGAUUUUACUUUUAAAAGGCUUUCUCUAGAACUUUGGGGUUUUAAAUCGGGGGGAGGGAGAUUGAAAAAAGGAAUCAAAAUUGAAAAGGUGAUUUUGGAAUAAAAUACUUUUAAUUUCUUCUUUUUUCUUUCGAUUCCAUUAGUUUUUCGCAUUUAAAAACAAAGAGAAAACAAUAGAUUUACCUUGCGGAUGUGCUAAGAGAUUCCGUCUUCUUUGUUGAAACUGAAGCGUAGAAGGAAUCUCGUGGUCGAGAUUGUCGUCCCCCGAAGCCCGAAUCUAUUCGUCACCAUUGAUAGAGGCAGAUCGGUGCUUAAGAGAGGGGUGUUAGGAUCGAUUGAGGGAAAAUCAAGAGAGGUUCGGGUUUUGAUUUUCUUAGUCGGCCAAAUGAAGAUAGAUAUGGUGAAGGAUUUCCUUCAUUUGUUGUGGAAAGUGGCAGAGUGCCAUUCAAACGUUUUUUAGGGUUUAAUUAAGCGUGCUUAAUUGUUUUGGGGUGAAUUGCGCAUUUAGUCCCUCCUUGUUUUGCUGUCAUCUGAUUGAGUCCCAUUUAUGUUUUUUUUUGCUUUUUAAUUCUUUCCUAAAACUUAUGCACUUUUUUAAUUUGAUCCAUGUUUACAUUAUGCGUUCAGAAACCUGGAAUAAUUGCGUUUUUUGUCCUUGCACGUUCACGCGCAUUGCCCUUUGGUCCUUAUUUCUAUCUUAAUAGUUUAUUUUAUUUAUUAAUUAUACCUUUUAAUUUGAUUUUAUUUCAAUUAAGUUUUUAUUUCAAUUUAUAUAAUUCAUUAUUUUUAUUCAUUGAGCAUUUAUCUUUUAAAUUUUAUUUAUAUACCUUUGGAGUUACUUGGAUAAGUUUACUUCGUUUUUUUUAAUUAUAAAAUUAUUAUUUUAAAAUUCUCUUUUGUAUCAUAUUAUUUUAAAUUUUGGUAUAAUCUUUAAUUUAAAUUACCUUUAUAUUAAUAUAUAUAUAAUUUAUAUUAAAAUUAGCUUUAUUUUAUAAACAUUAUUAAUUCUAUGUUAUUAUAUAUAUAUAAUUUCUUUUAAAUUUGUUUAUUUGUAUUUCCUUUUAAAUUUAUUGUUAUUCUUUAAAAAAUAUAUUUUAUUAUUUCUUUGUUAUUUAAGAUCCUUACAUGUAUAUAUUGUUUUACUAUAUAUUGGUUCGUUAUUUCUUCAUGUAUAUUUUUCUUUAUUUUAUUAUAUCUUCAUUAUAUAUUGUUCACAUUGAUUUUUUUAUUGCAUGUAUAUUAUCACCUUUAAAUAGAUAUGUUUUGUUUUUAAAAUAUCUUUGUAUGUUAUUUGCUCUAAAUUUCUUCUUUCACAAUAUUUAUUUUAUUCAUUUACAUAUUCUUAGUUUUAUUUUCAUAUAUGCAAAUCUUUUCAAACCCUAACAUGCGUUAUUCAUUUAUAAAUUUUUCAUAUAGUUUUUGAAUUGUUUUGUAUUAUAUUGGCUCUUAGUAUCCAUAUUGCUUUGUAUAUUAUGUGUUGCAUUUUAUCUUUCAUAUUAUUUUAUAUAUUAUUAUCUUAUAUUAUUUAUUCUUUUUUUUAUUAUAUCAAUUGUUAUUCAUCCAUGCUUAGGAGUUUGGUUAUAUUUUUUGAGGAUUAAUUAUUAUUAGAUUAAUUGGUUUCUUUAGGUUAUAUUAUCUUUAUUCACCAAGUUUUGUACUUUAGUUAUACAUGUUAUCCCAUGUUCAUUAUUUCUCUUUUUUAUUUUGAAUCAAAUAAAUGUGUUUUGAGCUAGUUUACAAUUUUUCUAAACUAAGGCAAUGUUCAAUAUUUGGAAAUUUAAAGAAUCGUGCCCUACCGUGUUGGGCUUCGAUUCUUCGUUGGACUAAAUAAUUGGACAUCUUUUUGUAAUUUUCAACGUAUAGGCUUUCGGGGGUCAAAAAUCAAUCGUAUUUUAAAAGGUAUGAAGAAUCUUAUCCAAUCGUGCUGGAUAUGAUGCUAUAUAGCUUUGAAACAAGAGAAUUUUGAUGACCAACUUGAGCGAUUCAAAUGUUUCAAAAUGAACCAUAUUUCAAAAAUCACUUUAAAACUUAGACAUAAGGACAGUACUUAAUCGAUUUGGUACCAAUUUUGGGCAUAGUGAGGGUGCUAAUCCUUCCUCAUGCGUAAUUGGCUCCCGAACCUAUUUGCUCAAAUUUACCUAGGCCAAAAUUGAUUUAAAUGAAAUAAAAUAUUUUAUUAGGCGAUCUAAUCUCUCCUAAACAAAAAGGAUUGGUGGCGACUCCACGCUUUGUUUUAAAAGUCGAUCCCCAUUUUCGUUUUCUCAAAAUCAAAAACAUGGUUUCGAUAGCUUGGCGACUCCACUGGGGAGUUUGAGAGUCUAGCCAUAAAUUGAUUGAUUUUUGUCCUUUUUCGAAAAUUGAAAACUUGUUUUAAACUUAUGAUCCCUUCAUUACAUUUCCUCCGUUUUUGUUACGGUUUUCAUAAUUUUAUUCAUAUUUUUUUUAUUGCUUCGGGUUUUUUUUACGCAUAUAUCAUUACACAUUACAUUGCAUGACCGUUGUGGUCACACCUUUAAGUGGGAGUGAGAAGCUAUGCCUUCGUGAGGUUUUCACCUCCGCAUGGGCUAGUGGGUUGCUUCUAGGAUACAUCCGUACUUAUGAUUUCGUAAGAUUUUCAUCUCCGCAUGGUCAUAGGGAAAUGUGUUCCCCUUUCUCUGUACUAACGUGUUUUGUUGAUGACUGCAUUGCAUUACAUCUUCAUAGAAAGGAGGUGUUAACUCAUAUUUGAUUGCUAAAUAGAACAGUUUGUCAUAAGAAAAUGAAUUCCUUGAUAAAGUGGAUUAUAAUACGGUUGUCUAAAUAUGGUCCAAGUAAACAAAUGGAAAAAGGCCAAUGAUUCGUAGAGGAAAACAAGUCUUUACCUAAAGACUCAGGCUGAUAAAGAUUGUUCGAGAGCCGUUGCGUCCCGAUUUCUUGAAAAAGCUAAUCAACAUCGCAAGGAUAAUAAAUCACGGUCUUGAUCAAGCAGAAAGGAAUUAGUGAAGACAUUUAUUGAAAGCUUGAGAGAUUUGACUUCUAUGAAGAAAAGAGACCGGUGUCUUCGUCUGGAAUAUGAAAGCAAGGCCGCAUAUGUAAUCCGUUUUAUGUAAAGAAAUUUGUUUUCUAAAAAAGUUGUUCUAAUGGAAUUGAAUUCAGAGUCAACGCCUCUCUUUCUUUUGCAUUCAUUCCAUGCAUUUGCAUUGCAUCGCAUUAGAUUUUCCCAAAAGAACCUUAAUUAGGUAAAAUUAUUUUAGAACCGACAAAGGAUAUGGACCAAAGGUUGGAAAGAAUAGAGCAAAGGCAAAUACAGAUGCAACAGCAAUUGAUCAAAAUUCAACAAGAUAUACGGGAACAAAUGCUAGAAUUCUAGAGAAAUAUGAUGGGCCAGUUAACCCAGUUACUAGCCGGAGGACUUGAAAAAAGGAGUGGCCUAGUGGUCAACAGUGGGGAUGAUAACGAAGACCUUAUCUAUUCCCUAGGUUUUACCCCAAUAAGCGUCCUGACCCAACCAGACGCGUAUCCGCAAUGGAUACCAGUCAUUAUCAGACCUCAAUAUUAGACUAAUACAUCGACACUAUUAAACUUCUCGAUGGGUUCAGGUUUUAACCCGAAGGAUGAUCGAACCAAACCAGUUGUUCUGGCAGAAACGAAAGAAGGAGGAGAGUAGACUUUAAAGGCCUCGAAGAAGAAGGAAA
RNAcentral lists this long non-coding RNA (4353 nucleotides) under Gossypium barbadense (sea-island cotton). RNAcentral describes it as "long non-coding RNA (GBAR_LNC000254)". Lineage: Eukaryota; Viridiplantae; Streptophyta; Magnoliopsida; Malvales; Malvaceae. The record is from RNAcentral.